UUCCCCUUUUCUUUUUUUUUUCCCACCGAAGCUGAGCGGGCGCUGCUAGCGGAGGCGCCAUAUUGGAAGGGACAAAACUCCGGCGACAGCGAGUGACACAAAUAAACCCCUGGAUCCCCUCGUCCCCCAAGCGCUAAAGGCCGCGAUGUUGUACCUAGAGGACUAUCUAGAAAUGAUUGAGCAGCUUCCAAUGGAUCUGCGGGACCGCUUCACGGAGAUGCGCGAGAUGGACCUGCAGGUGCAGAAUGCAAUGGAUCAACUAGAGCAAAGAGUCAGUGAAUUCUUUAUGAAUGCAAAGAAAAAUAAACCAGAGUGGAGAGAAGAACAAAUGGCAUCCAUCAAAAAAGAUUACUAUAAAGCUUUGGAAGAUGCAGAUGAGAAGGUACAGUUGGCGAACCAGAUAUAUGAUUUGGUAGAUCGACACUUGAGAAAGCUGGAUCAGGAACUCGCUAAGUUUAAAAUGGAGCUGGAAGCUGAUAAUGCUGGAAUUACAGAAAUAUUAGAGAGGCGAUCUUUGGAAUUAGAUACUCCUUCCCAGCCAGUGAACAAUCACCAUGCUCAUUCACAUACUCCAGUGGAAAAAAGGAAGUAUAAUCCUACUUCUCACCAUACGACAGCAGACCAUAUUCCUGAAAAGAAGUUUAAAUCUGAAGCUCUUCUAUCUACCCUAACAUCCGAUGCCUCUAAGGAAAAUACACUAGGUUGUCGAAAUAAUAAUUCUACGGCCUCAUCCAACAAUGCUUACAAUGUGAAUUCCUCCCAACCUCUGGCAUCCUAUAAUAUUGGCUCAUUAUCUUCGGGAACUGGUGCAGGGGCAAUUACCAUGGCAGCUGCUCAGGCAGUUCAAGCUACAGCUCAGAUGAAAGAGGGCCGAAGGACAUCAAGUUUAAAAGCCAGUUAUGAAGCAUUUAAAAAUAAUGACUUUCAGCUGGGAAAAGAAUUUUCAAUGCCCAGGGAAACAGCUGGCUUUUCGUCAUCUUCAGCGCUCAUGACUACAUUGACACAGAAUGCCAGUUCAUCAGCCGCAGACUCACGGAGUGGGAGAAAGAGCAAAAACAACAACAAGUCUUCAAGCCAGCAGUCCUCCUCUUCCUCCUCCUCCUCUUCCUUGUCAUCGUGUUCUUCAUCAUCAACUGUUGUACAAGAAAUCUCUCAACAAACAACAGUCGUACCAGAAUCAGAUUCAAAUAGUCAGGUUGAUUGGACUUAUGACCCAAAUGAACCACGAUAUUGCAUCUGUAAUCAGGUAUCCUAUGGUGAGAUGGUGGGCUGUGAUAACCAAGAUUGCCCUAUAGAAUGGUUCCAUUACGGAUGCGUUGGGUUGACAGAAGCACCAAAAGGGAAAUGGUACUGUCCGCAGUGUACUGCUGCCAUGAAGAGAAGAGGCAGUCGGCACAAAUAAAGACGGUCGUUUCAUUUGAGAAAGAGUAAGACUUCAACUAAACAUUUUAUAUAGGACUUUACAAAGGAAGAAAAGAGAAAGAAGAUACCGUGCAUUUCCAGGCAACCACUUAAAAGGAUUUACAUAGGCAAUCCUAUCAUCUCUCUGGCUUUUCCUUCAGUUGGAAGGACAUGAAAGAAGUCUAAUUACAGCAGGUAAAAUGAAAAUAAUGGUUAUAGAUAUUUGACUUAAGGCAGUGUGGCCAAUUUAAGUAAAGUAACCCCCUGAAUUGGAGCUUAAAAUUCAAUUCUGUUUUUUAUUUUACCAUAUACUAGUAUGACAGUUAAUUCAAAUUUUUAAUCACUCUGGGCCUUAUUAAACCAGGGUGAUGCUAGCUGUAGGAAGUCUCUAAAGCACUUCUAUGGUUUUAUUCUAUAGGUGCUAUUUAAAUUAUAAAUUUUGCAUACUAUUGAGUCUGAUCAGUAGAAAAAUCCUUAAAGCUUUUAAAAUAUUUAUUAUGUCAUAUUUUUUAUAUCAAAACGUACUGGGUACAUCAGAUUUUUACUUUAAUGAAAACUACUUAUGAGCCUCUUAGAACUUAUUCAGAAAACUGUGACGUCUAUGCAAUGCUACCCAAAGGGUUUGGGGUAGAUCGGGGAUUUCAAAGGUCUCUUCCAGCUUCCCAGUGCCACAGCUCUGAGCUGCUGCAGUCUGUUUUAUAACGGGUCAGCCCAUAAAGCUAAGUUAGGCUCAUUGGUGGGUUACCGUGAUUUCAUAGUAUCACUAGUAUCACGAUUUGGUGGUACUCAAUAUUUCAUGAAAAUUUUAUAAAUCUUUAAGAAAUAAUAUAUAACGUAGUAUUCAACUAGCUUAUCAGCAUGUUGCCUGGAGAUGCUUAGUGUUAUUGUUUAAUGUUCUAAUUAUAUGUAAUGAUUUUUCCAAACUUAUUUGUAUUAUAGGAAUUGGUCCAAGGAUAAAGCCUUAUAUUCAGCCUUAUUUUAAGAGAAAGUUCCUUGUCAGAGUCAGGAACAUCCCUAUGUCCAGCUGCUACAGCCCUUUUCAGUAUGUGAAUUCCACUGCUUCCAAAUCACUCCGAAACAUUUUGACAAAUCUUCAGCCCGAACAUUGAAUAUUUUAUGAAGUGUGUAUAAAGAGUAAACCAAAACUUUGUGCAGUCAUUUAAUAAUGGGUGGAACCUGUUAAUAUCUCAGAUAGCCAGACAUGGAACUACCUCAUCAAAAAUAAUGUGGCCAACUAUUAGUAUUUGUUGUGACAUUUACAAGGGGUAUAAUGAGCAUUUUUGGUAUUAUAAAAUACACAUUCAAAAUCUUUGUUGUGUACAAAAUUCAUGUAACAAUUGGUGGCCUAAAAAAAUUCAAUUGUGGGUUCACAAUUUAUAGGUGGUGAAAAUUGAGGCCUUACUGCUGUGGAGUGUAUAUUAAAAUGUUCAUGGUAACACACUUGAAGCAAUAAAUGGCUUAAUUAAAUGCCUAAAUGAA
This is an RNA transcript of Eptesicus fuscus (big brown bat), 2880 nucleotides long. It is a transcript of the gene named inhibitor of growth family member 3, with no coding region annotated. NCBI's taxonomy places the organism in Eukaryota, Metazoa, Chordata, Mammalia, Chiroptera, Vespertilionidae. The transcript has 13 exons. The record is from RefSeq and is a predicted model, not a curated record.